AACCUUUAGCAAAACAAAUAUUAAAGGCGACGCCUGCCCAGUGAAUUAUUAAACGGCCGCGGUACCCUAACCGUGCAAAGGUAGCAUAAUCAUUUGUCUAUUAAUUGUAGACCGGUAUGAAAGGCAAAAUGAGGGCCUGACUGUCUCUUAUAAUAAAUCAAUUAAACUGAUCUUCCAGUCCAAAAGCUGGAAUACUAACAUAAGACCAGAAGACCCUGUGAAGCUUAAACUAAACUAUUAAAACUUAUAAUAACACCUUUCGGUUGGGGCGACCUUGGAAAAAAAAAGAACUUCCAAACACAUGACCUCUUAUCAUUCAAUCAGGCUAACAAGCCAAAAUAUAUAGACCCAGCACAGCUGAUAAUUGAACCAAGUUACUCCAGGGAUAACAGCGCUAUCUUCUUUAAGAGCCCAUAUCAAAAAGAAGGUUUACGACCUCGAUGUUGGAUCAGGACAUCCUAAUGGUGCAACCGCUAUUAAGGGUUCGUUUGUUCAACGAUUAAUAGUCCU
RNAcentral lists this ribosomal RNA (510 nucleotides) under Thamnosophis stumpffi. Its description in RNAcentral is "partial 16S ribosomal RNA". It matches the Rfam family "Bacterial large subunit ribosomal RNA", at positions 1816 to 2597 of the family's 2925-position model. Lineage: Eukaryota; Metazoa; Chordata; Lepidosauria; Squamata. The record is from RNAcentral.